Molecule: long non-coding RNA, 1205 nt
Filed under: Sus scrofa (pig)
Lineage: Eukaryota; Metazoa; Chordata; Mammalia; Artiodactyla; Suidae
Description: lncRNA (ENSSSCG00050038616.1)
Source: RNAcentral
CACACACGGCACAAGAUGGCCGGAGAGGCAGCAGCACUGCGAGCUGUCAGGCGUUCCUCCGCGGCCGCGGUGCCCGCCGGUCGGCGGGGAGCUGCGCCCGGGAGGCCCGCAGGCUCGCGGGAACCCAGCGGCUGCGGAUGGGGCUAGGCGGGCCGCGGGUCGGGCUGGGAGCCCCCGGCAGAGACGCCCGGGGCAGCCGGGCCCACGACGGGGAAAGCGCCGCUGCGGCAGCGGCUGCGGAGGCUCCUCGGGGCCCCGGCGGCUCGACCUGGUACGGGCGGGAGGCUCGGGCAGGCGGCCCGGCGCGGGACUCGGGCGUGAGUGACCAAGGGGUGCUGACCGCGGCGCUCGGACCCGGCAACUUACAAGAUUAAAAUUAAAUUUGGUUGAUGAUGGUUCUGGACAAAUACAGCUCUUUUAUUUGAGGUAUGCCAUUUUGAAGACAGACCCGUGGAAUUUUAUCCUUGAGGAUAGGGGAAAUCUUUGUGAAAGUCUGUAUUUUAUAAAGCAACAAUAUGAAUCCUGAGGCUGAAUUGUCUAAGGGGCCUGUACAGCGAAAUAGAUAGAGGUAUAAAUGGAUGGAAGGAAACUCACAUUUGAACAUUCUUCUAAUACUGCACCCUAGCUGUUGGUAAGCUCCCCAUUUUUAUAAAUAAAGUUUUAUUGGAACACAGCUAAGCUCUUUCAUUUACGUAUUAGCUGUGUCUGCUUUCUGACUACAGCUGCAGAGAGUAGAUUUAGCUAAUGGCCACAAACCCUAACAUAUUUAGUUAUUUAGUAUUUUAACCUGUAAGGAAAUCUUGCCUAUCCUUUCCCUAGAUUCAUCCUUUUUGUCAACUUUAUGUAGAACUCAAAAGCACUUGGAUUCUCUUAAUAAUGGGGGUGUACCUUUUACUUUGUUAGUAUUUCAUUGUUAGAAUUCAAAUAACAUAAGUAAUCAUGAGCUUGGCUUAAACUCCAAAGCCCAACAAAGGUUCUUUCACACCAGCAUUAUGCUUUAAUAUUAGAAGAUUUGGGGAGUUCCCGGUGUGGCACAGUGGAAAUGAAUCAACUAGUAUAGUAUCCAUGAGGAUUUGGGUUCUAUCCCCGGCCUCACUCAGUGGAUUAAGGAUUUGGAGUUGCUGUGAGCUGUGGUGUAGGCCAGCAGCUGCAGCUCUGAUUCGACCCCUAGUCUAGGAACUUCCUUAUGACACAGGUAUGGCCCC